Molecule: long non-coding RNA, 976 nt
Organism: Nothoprocta perdicaria
Lineage: Eukaryota; Metazoa; Chordata; Aves; Tinamiformes; Tinamidae
Exons: 2
Source: RefSeq, a predicted model, not a curated record
CUUGUUAAGACUUACAACCCCUCGGGUCUCUUUGCAUUUGCAAGCCAGGUGCUGAGACUGUGGCAGAACAGCUCCAGACCUUCACAGUCAGACUGCAAUGAGAAAUGUCCUUCUGCAAGACAGCAGCAAUGCCUGGGUGGACAUUUCCAAGGAGAUGUGGACUGGAAAACUCAGGGCUUCUGUGGCUGUUUGGUCUCCUACAUGAGCUCUGAAACCUUUGUCAAAGCAAGGCAAAGAUUUGGGAGCAUCUUUAGCAGCACUGGGAACACUUGUUCAAAGUAGAGUUUCAGUAUCUGCAUCUGACUUACAUGUACUAAGAGUCAUUUCACCAGAGGCUUUUUGUCUGACAGCAAGAAGAGGUCUCUCUUUCUGAAAUGAGCAGAAAAAAAUGUUUUUCAUAGAUUUCUAAAUGUAGCACUAAUUGCUGGAAGACUUACUUAUGCCAUGAAAAAUUUCUACCAAUUGCUCAUGAUAGGUUUUAAGAUAUCCAAUAGAUGAUGAAGAUGAUAAAAAUAAUUGCAGCAUAGCUUCUUGGAAUAAAAGUAUUGUUUUUCUUAUUUUAGCUAAGAGACCAAAUAGAUGAGUAGAAUAGAAAAGACCAAAAUGAUGAGUACAUUUAUGACAGAAGCAGAUGUGCUGCAGCCUUCUCCAUUCAUAGAAGCUGUUUGAUUCUGGUGACAAUUAAAAGCUUGUUUAUCGAGAUUCACCCCCAGUUAAAAUAUUCAGUCUAAUCAUGUUAGGCUUAAAGCUCAUGUUCUUUCCAGAACAAACUCUUUUUCUUUUUUUUCAGGUGGGAAACUAAUUACAGCAUGGGCUGAAAAAGAUAUGUUUUCCUUUUGGCCACAGUUUCCCCAAAAUAGGUGUAUAUACUCUAAUGCUUCUGAAAUUUUCCAUUUCUCUGUUGUUCAUAAAAGGAUUAAUUAUUCUCCUGUUGAUUAUUCUGAAGACGAUGGUGGCAACAUUGAAGUAUUUUAGA